RNAcentral lists this ribosomal RNA (1713 nucleotides) under Enterococcus faecalis. RNAcentral's name for it is "partial 23S ribosomal RNA". It matches the Rfam family "Bacterial large subunit ribosomal RNA", at positions 1 to 1577 of the family's 2925-position model. The record is from RNAcentral. Lineage: Bacteria; Bacillati; Bacillota; Bacilli; Lactobacillales; Enterococcaceae.
UUCUAAGUUACUUAGAGCAUACGGUGGAUGCCUGGGCACAAGGAGCCGAUGAAGGACGUGGGAGUCUGCGAUAAGCCUCGGGGAGGUGACAACCGACCUGUGAUCCGGGGAUGUCCGAAUGGGGAAACCCGCCGCGACGAAAGUCGUGGUACCCGCCGCUGAAUGUAUAGGUGGUGUGGGGGGAACGAGGGGAAGUGAAACAUCUCAGUACCCUUAGGAAGAGAAAACAAUAGUGAUUGCGUGAGUAGUGGCGAGCGAAAGCGUAGGAGGCUAAACCAUGCUGGUGUGAGACUCGGUAGGGGUUGCUGGUGUGGGGUUGUGGGGUGCAUUUACACAAUAUCUACCGGUGUUGUGGCGUCGUGGUGUGUGGUAGGUGAAGCCUUGUGAGUGGGGCGCCAUAGUGGGUGUGAGUCCCGUAGCUGAAACUGCAUGGCCAGGCGUGGUGUUGCCCCGAGUAGGGCCGGGCUCGUGGAAUCCGGUGUGAAUCUGCCAGGACCACCUGGUAAGCCUAAAUACUUCCUUGUGACCGAUAGCGGACUAGUACCGUGAGGGAAAGGUGAAAAGUACCCCGGGAGGGGAGUGAAAGAGUACCUGAAACCGUGUGCUUACAAUCCGUCGGAGCCUUGAGGGGUGACGGCGUGCCUAUUGAAAAAUGAGCCUGCGAGUUAGUGGUCGGUGGCGAGGUUAACCUGUGUGGGGUAGCCGUAGCGAAAGCGAGUCUGAAUGGGGCGUUGAGUCGCCGGCUCUAGACCCGAAGCGAAGUGAUCUAUCCAUGGGCAGUGUGAAGCGCGGGUAAGACCGUGUGGAGGCGCGAACCCACUUCAGUUGAAAAUGGAGGGGAUGACCUGUGGAUAGGGGUGAAAGGCCAAUCAAACUUCGUGAUAGCUGGUUCUCCCCGAAAUGCAUUUAGGUGCAGCGUUGCGUGUUUCGUGCUGGAGGUAGAGCACUGGAUAGGCGAUGGGCCCCACCGGGUUACUGACCUUAGCCAAACUCCGAAUGCCGGUACGUGAGAGCGCAGCAGUGAGACUGUGGGGGAUAAGCUUCAUGGUCGAGAGGGAAACAGCCCAGAACAUCAGCUAAGGCCCCUAAGCGUGUGCUAAGUGGGAAAGGAUGUGGAGUUGCUGAGACAACCAGGAGGUUGGCUUAGAAGCAGCCACCCUUGAAAGAGUGCGUAAUAGCUCACUGGUCAAGUGAUUCUGCGCCGAUAAUGUAGCGGGGCUCAAGUACACCGCCGAAGCUGUGUCACUCCAUUUAUUGGGGUGGGUAGGGGAGCGUCGUGUGGCCGGUGAAGCUGCGGGGGAACCCAGUGGUGGAGGCUAUGCGAGUGAGAAUGCAGGCAUGAGUAGCGAAAGACGGGUGAGAAACCCGUCCUCCGAAUGAUCAAGGGUUCCGGGGCUAGGUUAAUCCGCCCCGGGUUAGUCGGGACCUAAGGCGAGGCCGACAGGCGUAGUCGAUGGAUAACGGGUUGAUAUUCCCGUACCGAUAGUGUGAGGACCCAUACCGAGGCGUGUGAUGCUAACCACCCGAGCUGCUGCUUCCUUCCCUUUGGGUUGGUUGUUGGUGGUGAGGCUGGGAACCAAGCAUGUAGUAGGUCAGCGUGUGGGAUGACGCAGUGAGGUAGCUUCCGGGGGGUAGUGGUUGUCCGGGUUGAAGCGAGCAGCCCGAGUGCGAGUAAUGUUGUGCUCUUGUGGGUGAGUCGUGAUGAGGACCCUU